RNAcentral lists this ribosomal RNA (773 nucleotides) under uncultured bacterium. Its description in RNAcentral is "bacterial SSU rRNA". It matches the Rfam family "Bacterial small subunit ribosomal RNA", at positions 8 to 791 of the family's 1533-position model. The record is from RNAcentral.
AGAGUUUGAUCAUGGCUCAGGAUGAACGCUGGCGGCGUGCUUAACACAUGCAAGUCGAACGAUGAAGACCGUGCUUGCACGGUUGGAUUAGUGGCGAACGGGUGAGUAUCACGUGAGUAACCUUCCCUUAACUCUGGGAUAAGCCCGGGAAACUGGGUCUAAUACCGGAUACGACCAGUCCUCGCAUGGGGUGCUGGUGGAAAGAUUUAUCGGUUUUGGAUGGACUCGCGGCCUAUCAGCUUGUUGGUGAGGUAAUGGCUCACCAAGGCGAUGACGGGUAGCCGGCCUGAGAGGGUGACCGGCCACACUGGGACUGAGACACGGCCCAGACUCCUACGGGAGGCAGCAGUGGGGAAUAUUGCACAAUGGGCGAAAGCCUGAUGCAGCGACGCCGCGUGCGGGAUGACGGCCUUCGGGUUGUAAACCGCUUUCAGCAGGGAAGAAGCGAAAGUGACGGUACCUGCAGAAGAAGCGCCGGCUAACUACGUGCCAGCAGCCGCGGUAAUACGUAGGGCGCGAGCGUUAUCCGGAAUUAUUGGGCGCAAAGAGCUCGUAGGCGGUUUGUCACGUCUGCUGUGAAAGCCCGGGGCUCAACCCCGGGUGUGCAGUGGGUACGGGCAGACUAGAGUGCAGUAGGGGAGACUGGAAUUCCUGGUGUAGCGGUGAAAUGCGCAGAUAUCAGGAGGAACACCGAUGGCGAAGGCAGGUCUCUGGGCUGUUACUGACGCUGAGGAGCGAAAGCAUGGGGAGCGAACAGGAUUAGAUACCCUGGU